CGGUGGGGGCUGCUACACAUGCAGUCGCACGGGGUAGCAAUACCCAGUGGCGAACGGGUGCGUAACACGUGAGGAACCUGACUACCGGCGGGGGAUAGCCGGCCCAACGGCCGGGUAAUACCGCGUACGACCUUCGGGGGGCAUCCCCCGGAGGUGAAAGCAGCAAUGCACCGGUGGGGGGCCUCGCGGCCUAUCAGCUAGUUGGUGGGGUCACGGCUCACCAAGGCGACGACGGGUAGCUGGUCCGAGAGGAUGACCAGCCACAUUGGGACUGAGACACGGCCCAGACUCCUACGGGAGGCAGCAGUGGGGAAUCUUGCGCAAUGGGCGAGAGCCUGACGCAGCGACGCCGCGUGUGGGAUGACGGCCUUCGGGUUGUAAACCACUGUCGGGAGGGACGAAGCUCUGACGGUACCUCCAAAGGAAGCACCGGCUAACUCUGUGCCAGCAGCCGCGGUAAUACAGAGGGUGCGAGCGUUGUCCGGAAUCACUGGGCGUAAAGGGCGCGUAGGCGGCCCGGUAAGUAGGGGGUGAAAUCCCGCGGCUCAACCGCAGGGCUGCCUUCUCGACUGCCGGGCUGGAGCACGGUAGAGGCUGGUGGAAUUCCCGGUGUAGCUGUGGAAUGCGUAGAGAUCGGGAAGAACAUCGGUGGCGAAUGCGGCCAGUUGGGCCGUUGCUGACGCUGAGGCGCGACAGCGUGUGGAGCAAACAGAUUAGAUACCCUGGGUAGUCCAUGCCCUAGACGACGAGUACUAGGCGUCGGGGGGAGCGACCACCUCCGGUGCCGACGCUGUUUGAUCCGUACCCUGUCGGGCGAGUACGGCCGCAACGGCUGAAACUCACCGGAAUCGACGGGGG
Molecule: ribosomal RNA, 858 nt
Filed under: uncultured Gemmatimonadota bacterium
Lineage: Bacteria; Pseudomonadati; Gemmatimonadota
Description: bacterial SSU rRNA
Rfam family: Bacterial small subunit ribosomal RNA
Source: RNAcentral